AGAAAACUGCUUUGGAGCGUCGGCCAAAAAGAGACGCUAAAUGGCAAAAAGCGGACGCUAUAAGGUACUUAGCGUCAGCUUAGCGUCUACAUCGUGGCAGACACUUAAAUGCCCGAAGCUAGACAGUUGCGUCCAGCAGACGCUAUUUGGCGUCCGUCCCGUUAGAUGCUAAGUGGAAGCUAGUGACAUGUAUAUGAGGCAGACGCUAGUAGCUUCGAUUUUUGGGUGACGCUACACAUAUAUAUUGGUGUUAUAAAACGUCACCCUUAGAGUCCGCUUGACAGAUGCUAAAUGUAGCGUCUGCUCUAAAUAGAUGCUAUAUUUUAGUUUCUGAAUUAUAUAGCGUCUGCUAAAGCAGACGCUUUUGUUUUAUUAUUUUUUAAUUUAAAAAACUCAUCCUAGAAAGGAACCUAUCCUGUAUUUCUAAAAAUACAUCAAAAAAUUAUUAUCUUUCAUAGUUUGCUACCAUAAUUUCUCACAACCAUAAAAUCUCUACCAAUAUAUUCAUUAAAAUAUCAAAACCAAAGAUAACAAUCAUAAAAUCUCUACCAAUGUACUCAUUAAGGUCAUCAAAAC
Molecule: long non-coding RNA, 576 nt
Filed under: Trifolium pratense (red clover)
Lineage: Eukaryota; Viridiplantae; Streptophyta; Magnoliopsida; Fabales; Fabaceae
Description: long non-coding RNA (TPRA_LNC008939)
Source: RNAcentral